This 398-nucleotide ribosomal RNA is filed under the name uncultured Methanosaeta sp. Its description in RNAcentral is "bacterial SSU rRNA". It matches the Rfam family "Archaeal small subunit ribosomal RNA", at positions 941 to 1338 of the family's 1478-position model. The record is from RNAcentral. Lineage: Archaea; Methanobacteriati; Methanobacteriota; Methanomicrobia; Methanotrichales; Methanotrichaceae.
AGCAAUAUGAAGGCCAGGCUGAAGACUUUGCCGGAUUAGCUGAGAGGUGGUGCAUGGCCGUCGUCAGUUCGUACUGUGAAGCAUCCUGUUAAGUCAGGCAACGAGCGAGACCCACGCCCACAGUUGCCAGCGUACUCUCUGGAGUGACGGGUACACUGUGGGGACCGCCGCUGCUAAAGCGGAGGAAGGAAUGGGCAACGGUAGGUCAGUAUGCCCCGAAUAUCCCGGGCUACACGCGAGCUACAAUGGUUGGUACAAUGGGUAUCUACCCCGAAAGGGGACGGGAAUCUCCUAAAACCAAUCUUAGUUCGGAUUGAGGGCUGCAACUCGCCCUCAUGAAGCUGGAAUCCGUAGUAAUCGUGUCUCAAAAUGGCACGGUGAAUAUGUCCCUGCUCCUU